Molecule: Y RNA, 103 nt
Filed under: Microcebus murinus (gray mouse lemur)
Lineage: Eukaryota; Metazoa; Chordata; Mammalia; Primates; Cheirogaleidae
Description: Y RNA (ENSMICG00000034018.2)
Rfam family: Y RNA
About the family: Y RNAs are components of the Ro ribonucleoprotein particle (Ro RNP), in association with Ro60 and La proteins. The Y RNAs and Ro60 and La proteins are well conserved, but the function of the Ro RNP is not known.
Source: Rfam by way of RNAcentral
GGCUGGUCCAAAGGUAGUGAGUUAUCUCACUUGAUUGUUCACAGAGAUUGAACUCAUUGCUCUACUUUUCCCCCUUCUCACUACUGCACUUGACUAGUCUUAA